UACGUAGGGUGCGAGCGUUGCCCGGAUUUAUUGGGCGUAAAGGGCGCGUAGGCGGUGAGAUGCGUCCGUUGUGAAAUCGCCCGGCUCAACUGGGCGGGGUCAGCGGAUACGGUCUCACUUGAGCAAGCUAGGGGGCAAUGGAAUUCCCGGUGUAGUGGUGGAAUGCGUAGAUAUCGGGAGGAACACCAGUGGCGAAAGCGGACCGCUGGCCCUCUUCUGACGCUGAGGCGCGAAAGCCAGGGGAGCGAACGGG
This 253-nucleotide ribosomal RNA is filed under the name uncultured bacterium. RNAcentral describes it as "partial 16S ribosomal RNA". It matches the Rfam family "Bacterial small subunit ribosomal RNA", at positions 524 to 776 of the family's 1533-position model. The record is from RNAcentral.